GGUAAAACAUGUAAAUGUCUCGACAAUUGUAUCGAAAUUGAAAGUUGGUGUUGACAUUCACAACUAUUUACGCAUUUACAAGUUAAUUGUUCUUAUUAGAAUAUAAAAGUUGUCUUUUAAAUAGGAAAAAAUCGAUGCGAAAAUUAUUUUGGAGCAGGAAUUUCAGAUGUUGAGAAAUUUACACUGAAUGUUGAUAAAACAAAACAAAGAUUUUCGUUACCGUGUCAGUUCAAAAUCGAUCAUGCCCGCUU
RNAcentral lists this long non-coding RNA (251 nucleotides) under Mytilus galloprovincialis (Mediterranean mussel). Lineage: Eukaryota; Metazoa; Mollusca; Bivalvia; Mytilida; Mytilidae. The record is from RNAcentral.